This is an unclassified non-coding RNA of Papio anubis (olive baboon), 147 nucleotides long. It matches the Rfam family "Metazoan signal recognition particle RNA". From Rfam's summary of the family: The signal recognition particle (SRP) is a universally conserved ribonucleoprotein. The record is from Ensembl. Lineage: Eukaryota; Metazoa; Chordata; Mammalia; Primates; Cercopithecidae.
GCUGGGUGUGGUGGCGCGCGCCUGUAAUCCCAGCUACUCAGGAGGCUGAGGCAGGAGAAUUGCUUGAACCCAGGAGGCAGAAGUUGCAGUGAGCUGAGAUCAGCCACUACACUCCAGCCUGGGCAACAGAGCGAGACUCCGUCUCAA